RNAcentral lists this ribosomal RNA (463 nucleotides) under Hemigrapsus sp. WM-2017-2. Its description in RNAcentral is "partial 16S ribosomal RNA". The stretch from base 331 to 463 matches the Rfam family "Bacterial large subunit ribosomal RNA", at positions 2473 to 2605 of the family's 2925-position model. Lineage: Eukaryota; Metazoa; Arthropoda; Malacostraca; Decapoda; Varunidae. The record is from RNAcentral.
UGCAAAGGUAGCAUAAUCGUUAGUUUUUUAAUUGGAAUCUUGUAUGAAUGGUUGGACAAAAGAAAAUCUGUCUUUAUAUUGUUUAUUGAAUUUAACUUUUAAGUGAAAAGGCUUAAAUAAAUUAAAGGGACGAUAAGACCCUAUAAAGCUUAAUAUUAAUAUUUUACUUGGUUAAAUUUUCUUGUUUAUAAAAACUUAGUAAUUGAAUUUAUUUUAUUGGGGCGAUAAAUGUAAAAUGGCUACUAACUGCUUAAUUUUUUAUACAUCUAUAAAUGAAUUAGAAAAUAAAUGAUCCUUAAUAUAAAGAUUAAAAGUUUAAGUUACUUUAGGGAUAACAGCGUUAUCUUUCUUAAGAGUACAUAUCGAAAGAAAAUUUUGCGACCUCGAUGUUGAAUUAAAAUACCUUUAUAAUUGCAGCAGUUAUAUAAGUAGGUCUGUUCGACCUUUAAAAUUUUACAUGAUU